CGGUCACUGCUAGCCAAAACAAGACUUCAUAGGUGCAUAUCAGCGCCAUCGACUGACCAGAGUCUCGGGCUCGGCAUUCUGGCGCCACCGAACAUGUCGACCAACGCAGCGUGGGUGGGGUGCAGCUUCCGAGCGACGCCGAGCGGGCCACUUGGCACAGAGGAGCUGACCCCCCUGACACCCCGCUGAGAAACAGGGGCCCGCUUCCUCGGCCUUCGGACCGGGUGCUAACGGAUGAUGGAGACAAGUGGAGACCUCGAAGUCGCCAUCGACUGACCAGAGUCUCGGGCUCGGCAUUCUGGCGCCACCGAACAUGUCGACCAACGCAGCGUGGGUGGGGUGCAGCUUCCGAGCGACGCCGAGCGGGCCACUUGGCACAGCGGGAGCUGACCCCCCUGACACCCCGCUGAGAAACAGGGGCCCGCUUCCUCGGCCUUCGGACCGGGUACUAACGGACGAUGGAGACAACUAGAGACGUUUGGGUCUCUGCGUAUGAUCGGGAGAGCUGCCUGUUCCUGCGUUCUUCUGGGAAACGGGACGAGAGGGAUGCUCUGACCGGGGUGUGACCACGUGGGAGGUCCGUGUCCCAGGAGACUGCAGAGACGUCCCGUGGUGACGAAAGUUACGCCCAUUGGAGGUGCGUCAGCCUGUGACCAACUGGGAAAGCAGAUGCAGCUCGCCUCAAAGAAUUGCAUCAUUAACAUGCACGAGCUGCUUCAAAGCCCGAGACUGAAGACAAAUAAACGAGCCUGCGGGUGGAAUGCAUGUUCACAAUUUCUCGAAGUU
Molecule: long non-coding RNA, 786 nt
Organism: Ixodes scapularis (black-legged tick)
Lineage: Eukaryota; Metazoa; Arthropoda; Arachnida; Ixodida; Ixodidae
Exons: 4
Source: RefSeq, a predicted model, not a curated record